RNAcentral lists this ribosomal RNA (469 nucleotides) under Mikrocytiidae sp. Its description in RNAcentral is "partial small subunit ribosomal RNA". It matches the Rfam family "Eukaryotic small subunit ribosomal RNA", at positions 957 to 1446 of the family's 1831-position model. Lineage: Eukaryota; Endomyxa; Ascetosporea; Mikrocytida; Mikrocytiidae. The record is from RNAcentral.
GCCGAGGACUCGCUCGUCAGCCAAGGACCAAAGUUGGGGUAUCGAAAACGAUUAGACACCGUUGUAGUCCCAACCACAAACUUUGCUGACUGGCCUUGUGGCACCCUACGGCUUCGGCUAGGGGGUGGUGCGGGGCCUAGGCGAAAGCAUAGUCUUCGAGUCACUUGGAGAGUAUGCCCGCAAGAGUGAAACUUAAAUGAGUUGGCGGAGUCCCAUACAUGAACUGGAGCUUGCGGUUUAAUUUGAUUCAACACGGGACAACUUACCAGGGCCUCGGCAAGUAUGAGUCGUUCCCUGUCUCAGGGUGUGGUUGAAAUCCAACGACGAUUUUGCCUGGGGUUGUGCAUGGCCACCCGAGGCCGAUGGAUUGAUCUUUUGGUUAAGUCCGGUAAUCGGCGAGACCCGCGCUGUCAGUUUCGAGCCAAGAGGCGAGUCUGGCAGAACCGCAUUCGCAAGAGUGAGGUAGGAC